This 1249-nucleotide ribosomal RNA is filed under the name metagenome. RNAcentral describes it as "bacterial SSU rRNA". It matches the Rfam family "Bacterial small subunit ribosomal RNA", at positions 242 to 1520 of the family's 1533-position model. The record is from RNAcentral.
UAGCUAGUUGGUGAGGUAACGGCCCACCAAGGCAACGAUCGGUAGCCGGACUGAGAGGUUGAACGGCCACAUUGGGACUGAGACACGGCCCAGACUCCUACGGGAGGCAGCAGUGGGGAAUAUUGCACAAUGGGGGAAACCCUGAUGCAGCGACGCCGCGUGGAGGAAGAAGGUCUUCGGAUUGUAAACUCCUGUUGUUGAGGAAGAUAAUGACGGUACUCAACAAGGAAGUGACGGCUAACUACGUGCCAGCAGCCGCGGUAAAACGUAGGUCACAAGCGUUGUCCGGAAUUACUGGGUGUAAAGGGAGCGCAGGCGGGAAGACAAGUUGGAAGUGAAAUCCAUGGGCUCAACCCAUGAACUGCUUUCAAAACUGUUUUUCUUGAGUAGUGCAGAGGUAGGCGGAAUUCCCGGUGUAGCGGUGGAAUGCGUAGAUAUCGGGAGGAACACCAGUGGCGAAGGCGGCCUACUGGGCACCAACUGACGCUGAGGCUCGAAAGUGUGGGUAGCAAACAGGAUUAGAUACCCUGGUAGUCCACACCGUAAACGAUGAUUACUAGGUGUUGGAGGAUUGACCCCUUCAGUGCCGCAGUUAACACAAUAAGUAAUCCACCUGGGGAGUACGACCGCAAGGUUGAAACUCAAAGGAAUUGACGGGGGCCCGCACAAGCAGUGGAGUAUGUGGUUUAAUUCGACGCAACGCGAAGAACCUUACCAAGUCUUGACAUCCCUUGACGGUGCUGGAAACAGUACUUCUCUUCGGAGCAAGGAGACAGGUGGUGCAUGGUUGUCGUCAGCUCGUGUCGUGAGAUGUUGGGUUAAGUCCCGCAACGAGCGCAACCCUUAUGGUCAGUUACUACGCAAGAGGACUCUGGCCAGACUGCCGUUGACAAAACGGAGGAAGGUGGGGAUGACGUCAAAUCAUCAUGCCCUUUAUGACUUGGGCUACACACGUACUACAAUGGCGUUAAACAAAGAGAAGCAAGACCGCGAGGUGGAGCAAACUCAGAAACAACGUCCCAGUUCGGACUGCAGGCUGCAACUCGCCUGCACGAAGUCGGAAUUGCUAGUAAUCGUGGAUCAGCAUGCCACGGUGAAUACGUUCCCGGGCCUUGUACACACCGCCCGUCACACCAUGAGAGCCGGGGGGACCCGAAGUCGGUAGUCUAACCGCAAGGAGGACGCCGCCGAAGGCAAAACUGGUGAUUGGGGUGAAGUAACAAGGUAGCCGUAGGAGAACCUGCGGCUG